GCCCGGGUAGCUCAGUUGGUAGAGCGCACCCUUGGUAAGGGUGAGGUCGGCAGUUCAAAUCUGCUCCUGGGCUCCA
This 76-nucleotide transfer RNA is filed under the name Gammaproteobacteria bacterium. RNAcentral's name for it is "tRNA-Thr". It matches the Rfam family "tRNA". From Rfam's summary of the family: Transfer RNA (tRNA) molecules are approximately 80 nucleotides in length. Their secondary structure includes four short double-helical elements and three loops (D, anti-codon, and T loops). Further hydrogen bonds mediate the characteristic L-shaped molecular structure. tRNAs have two regions of fundamental functional importance: the anti-codon, which is responsible for specific mRNA codon recognition, and the 3' end, to which the tRNAs corresponding amino acid is attached (by aminoacyl-tRNA synthetases). tRNAs cope with the degeneracy of the genetic code in two manners: having more than one tRNA (with a specific anti-codon) for a particular amino acid; and 'wobble' base-pairing, i.e. permitting non-standard base-pairing at the 3rd anti-codon position. The record is from RNAcentral. RNAcentral also lists the same sequence under 3 other names. Lineage: Bacteria; Pseudomonadati; Pseudomonadota; Gammaproteobacteria.